This 497-nucleotide ribosomal RNA is filed under the name uncultured bacterium. RNAcentral describes it as "partial 16S ribosomal RNA". It matches the Rfam family "Bacterial small subunit ribosomal RNA", at positions 29 to 523 of the family's 1533-position model. The record is from RNAcentral.
AGUGAACGCUGGCGGUAGGCCUAACACAUGCAAGUCGAACGGUAACAGGUCUUCGGAUGCUGACGAGUGGCGAACGGGUGAGUAAUACAUCGGAACGUGCCUAGUAGGGGGGGAUAACUACUCGAAAGAGUGGCUAAUACCGCAUGAGAUCUACGGAUGAAAGCAGGGGAUCGCAAGACCUUGUGCUACUAGAGCGGCCGAUGGCAGAUUAGGUAGUUGGUGGGAUAAAGCUUACCAAGCCGACGAUCUGUAGCUGGUCUGAUAGGACGCUCAUGCACACGGGGACUGAGAAACGGCCCAGACUCCUACGGGAGGCAGCAGUGGGGAGUUUUGGACAAUGGGCGAAAGCCUGAUCCAGCAAUGCCGCGUGCAGGAUGAAGGCCUUCGGGUUGUAAACUGCUUUUGUACGGAACGAAAAGCCCCGGGUUAAUACCCUGGGGUCAUGACGGUACCGUAAGAAUAAGCACCGGCUAACUACGUGCCAGCAGCCGCCGUAA